Molecule: long non-coding RNA, 20704 nt
Filed under: Marmota monax (woodchuck)
Lineage: Eukaryota; Metazoa; Chordata; Mammalia; Rodentia; Sciuridae
Source: RNAcentral
UUUUUUUUUUGGUAGAGGGGGUACCAGGGAUUGAACUCAGGGGCACUCAACGUCUGAGCCACAUCCCUAGUCCUCUUGUAUUUUAUGUAGAGAAAGGGUCUCACUGAGUUGCUUAGUGCCUUGCUGUAGCUGAGGCUGGCUUUGAAUUUACAAUCCCCCUGCCUCAGGCUCCUCAGCCACUGGGAUUAUAGGCACAUACCACCUCACCUGGCCUCAAUUUUGUAAAUAUCUAAACAGUUGUUUUAAGAUUAGAGCAGAUGGCAGAAGGUUCUGGCACUAUUGUUCCAUAAUUCAAUUUAAAAGAAAUCAUGCCAGGAACUGUAAGAAUGUCAUGAAGAUGUUAAAAAUCAUAAUCAUCCUCUAAAUAAAUAUAUUAUCAUUGUUCAUUGUUUUACAGAGAAAAGGCAAUAGAAUCGGUGAAUUCUAAUAUUAACAAGGGAGAUUAAUAUCAAAAGAUUGGGAAUUUCUUUAUAGAAAAUCAACAUAAAUGAGAGAUUUUUGAGUAGCAUUCACCCAGUAGGGAGAUACUCUGAGUAUGAUGAAUUUAGGAUUUUAUCCUAAAUUUAGCUCAAAACAUGAGGCAGAGUUUCACUAAUACACAUUCCUACACAUGUAACUGGGCACUGAGGUUCCUAAAGGAACUUCAUAAAAAUAUAGAGUAGUCAUUUCCAAGAGUAGACUGGAUGUCACAGGAUCCUUGAAAUUGGGUUCCUUCAUUCAGCUUGAAGUUUACAGAGCAGGGAAUGUUUACAUGUAAUCAAAGUGGUAAGGAUAAUAAUCAUAAUAAUACUGUUUCUGUCUGCAGAUAGGUAAGAAUUAAUAAGUCUGAAAAGUCUUUUAACCAUCAUUCAUCCCUUCAUCAACAGGCAGGACACCACAGUGCAGGGGAACUUUGUGACUAUAUGCAGUGUGGAGAAAUCUUCAGUGAACACUCAUAUUUCAAGACUCACAUGAAAACUCAAAAUACAAGGAAUGCAGGGCAUUUUACUCACUCUACAAGUCCUGCCGUGCCUGUUCAAAUGCGCACAAUGAAAAACAAUGCAUGUAAGGUUUGUGGAAAAGUCUUCAGACGUUCUUCAAACCUUAAUAGGCACAUGCGAACCCAUACUGGGGAGAAACCCUUUAAAUGUAAGGAAUGUAGGAAGCCCUUCACUACUUACUCACGGCUAAUGGAACAUUUUAGAAUUCAUACUGGAGAAAAACCCUAUAAAUGUAAGGAAUGUGGAAAAGCCUUCACUAAGCGCUCAGGCCUUACCACACAUGAACCAACACAUGCUUCAGAGAAGCCCUAUGAAUGUAACGAAUGUGGGAAAGCCUUCGCUUCAUCCUCACGCCUUGCUCAACAUGUAAGAACUCACAGUGGCGAGAGACCCUAUAUAUGUAAGGAAUGUGGAAGAGCCUUUCUCACUUCCUCAUAUCUACGUAACCACAUAAGAAGAACUCACAGUGGGGAGAAACCCUAUAUAUGUAGGGAAUGUGGAAAAGCCUUCCAUUCUUCCUCAUACCUACGUAGACAUGUAAGAACUCACAGUGGUGAGAGACCCUAUAUUUGUAAAGAGUGUGGAAAAGCCUUCCUUAAUUCUUCAUACCUACAUAAUCAUGUAAGAAAAACUCAUAGUGGAGAGAUACCCUUUAUAUGUGGUGAAUGUGGUAAAGUCUUUCAUGCUUCCUCAUACCUACGUAGACAUGUAAGAACUCACAGUGGAGAGAGACCCUAUAUAUGUAAGGAAUGUGGGAAAGCCUUCCUCAAUUCCUCAUACCUACGUAAACAUCUAAUCAUUCACACUGGAAAGAAACCCUAUGAAUGUAAGGAAUGUGGGAAAGCCUACAAUAGAUGCAAUCUAUUACUUGACCAUUUAAAAACUCACAUGGUGGAAAAGCCAUUUGAAUGUAAUGUAUGUGGAAAAUCCUUUCAGUAUUUCUCUUAUCUUACUAAGCACAUUCGUAUUCACACAGGAGUAAAACCCUAUAAGUGUAAGUACUGUGGGAAAGCCUUCACCACUUCUUCAAGCCGAACUGAGCAUGUAAGAACUCACACUGGGGAAAGGCCUUAUGAAUGUAAGGAAUGUGGGAAAUCCUUCAGUUCAUCCUCAAACCUAAUUCAUCAUGUGAAAAUUCACACAACAGAGAAACCCUUUAAGUGUCAGGAAUGUGGGAAAGCCUACAGUAAGUUUUACCUACUAACUGAACAUUUAAUAACUCACACUGAAAAGAAACCCUUUCAAUGGGAGGAAUACAAAAAAAUCCCUUAAGAUUCUUCACAUUGUAAGGAAGGAAAUAUAAAAUAUUUCACUAAUUCCCAGAAGGUUACUAAAUGUGAGACUUUGCAAUAGAAGGAAGAACUCCUGAUGUAAAAUAUAUGGGAAGGUUGUAGUUCUGUAAAUAUGUUGGUCUUCACUUGUGUCAUCAUAGUGGAGAAAACUUUAGAAGGAAAGGACUGUUGGAAAGUCAACCUUUAGCAAACAUGAUUCAGAUCCAAGAGAAAUUUAAUAUAGGGGUUUGGGAAUUAUGUCCCCUUAACUUGAAAUCUAGUGUACCAACAGACACCACUGUCUGAAUGGUUCUGGUUUAUUUCGAACAUUUGUGAUUCUACCUUGAUCAUUCUGGAGUGAUAUGUCUUUCCUUUCCUCCAUAGCAACACUAUUUCAUUUCAGUCAUUUCAGUUGCUACAACUUCUGGAUAGCCACCAGGUGAAAAGUGGGCCUUUGGGAUACAAACAAUACUAUUUUAGCAGUAUAGAAUCUUUCCUAGGUUUCUCAUGUUUUUUUUUUUUUUUUUUUGUACCAGGGAUUGAACUCAGGUGUUUAACAGGGUCUCACUGAAUUGCUUAGGACCUUGCUAAAUUGCUGAGGUUGGCUUUGACUUGUGAUUUUCCUGCCUCAGCUUUCUGAGCUGCUGGGACGGGCACGCAUGACCAUACCUGGCUUGUCAUGCUCUUAAACAUGCUAAAUCCUGGGAUUUAGUACUGUGAGAAAGCCUUUUUCACUUUAACACAUUUAAUGUUGUUAAAUGCCCUUGUUCUCUUAUACCUGAUCCUUUCAGAUAAAAGAUGAGAGUGCAAGAAAAGUGAGUAGAGAAAGGACAAGUGAUAAAUAAUUACUAGUGUGAGAGACCUCAAUUUCAUGACCAUGCAGAGAGAGAGAGACCCCUUGAACCCCUUGAGAAUGGAAGUUCCUGUAACAUUGGCAUUGCAGGGAGUGAGGGAGAGGCCUCAGUGUUGUCUUUAAUCUGUGCGUCCAUUACACAGCCUGCAAAGCACUUAUGAAUGCCUGAGUUAGCAACAGCUUGGACUGGCAGUACAAACUGCUUCUGGAUUUGUCCUUUGAUGCACAUGGAAACAGAAAAACUGAACAUAACUGGUGUCAUGUUCUACUGUGCUCGAAACCAUCAUGGUUCUGAAUUGGCCCUUGGGUACAGCCUCUCAGACCAGCACAAUCAGGUUUCAGCUUGAGUGAUCCAAAUUUAAAGUUUGAGCAACUUUGGGUUCUAUCAUGUGUUGCCAUCAGAACUCAGCCCCUUGAUGGCUGCCAUCAGGGCUGCAGCCCUUUCUUUGGCUUUUAAUCCAGCCAGUGCAGAGGUAUUCCAAAUCAUGCUAAACAAUAAAUCCUGAACAGAAGAGACCUGUGCACUUUCAUGUUCCAUGUGUUUCUUGUGAGGAGUGGUAAUGAAAUGGUUCUCUUGUGGGUGUGAUUAUUACUGUUAAGCCCAACUAUUAUUGCCAUUACCUGUUGGCAGUGACAAUAAAGGUGAUCACAUCAAUCUGGGCUGCCUUGUGUGGAUGGUUAUGGCUCAUGAAUUUGCCUUAGAUGCCAUCCUUACUGUCUGAAAUGAGACCUAUAGGUCCCUCUGGAACUUGUUCACAGUUGCCUGCUGAUGAGCACAUGUAGGUGAUGGGUGAAGUCACUAGUGCAGUUUGGCCUCAUCCUUCCCCUUGUCUCCAAGUGACAGUAUCAUUAAUAAAUGACAGUAUAGUGUUCACAGCCCAGACAUUGCCCUGCCUGAGAAACUCACUGCUGGUGACCUUGCCACUGGAGAGGACUUCCUCCUGUGCACUAAAGAUGAGUUCAAAUUCACCAGAACCUUCUUUGUAGCAAUAUCUGUGCGCUAGUGCUCCUCAGGUACAAAUUGCACAUAAAACAUUUGCUUUUUCUUACUUUGAUAUUUGGGGUUUGAUUGUGUGCCCGAGCUUGCUGUCAGCUUAGCCUGUGAUCCUGGUAUAAUGUCAGCCAAAACAUACAGCUCUAUACCCCAUACCUUUAGGAAAAUCUGAUAGAAGUUACUGCUACCUCUUAGAGAGGUUACUACCUACAUUUCUGAAAGUUGACAAAACUUUUUCUGGUUUCCCAGGAGGCAGCUGCUGUCAAUUAAUGCAGUGACACCAAAGGGGAGUCCACUAUCUUCCCAGUUAAUUCUGCUGAUCAUGUUUUCCAUGUUGAUCUGACUCCUUCCCCUUGGUUUCAAAACCAUUUUUCUCUACUUAGAAUUUGCUAAUGUUUAAAUUCAUAUCCUCACAACAGUAUAAUUCCAGGCCUUCCAUCUUGAUCACUGUCAAAUUCAUACUAUUAUACGUUUUACAAUCUGCAGAAAAAAUUAUUGAUCUUACAACAUUUCAGGUCUAUUUUCUUGAAUAAUGCCAUAGUUAUCUGAGAACUUUGUUGUGGCCAGGCCCACAAGUACUGUACAUACUUAUUACAAGUACUGCAAUAUUUCACCUUUUCUUUCUUUCCUUUCUUUGUCCUUUUUUUUUUAAAACCCCUUCCCUCCCUUCUGAUUGAACCAGGGGUGAUCUCACUGAGCUACAUCACUAAUCUUUUUUUAUUUUUAUUUUGAGACAGUCUUGCUAGAUUGCUGAGGCUAGCCUCAAACUUACAAAUCCUGUCCCAGCCUCCAGAAUUACUACCAUGCCUGGCAUUUUUCUCCUUAUCAGUGAAAAAUCUCUUGACGUUGUCCCAGAGUUGUUUAGUGUAACAUCAGACCAUCUGAGGAUCAAUUGUGUUACUCAUGUAUUGUAUUUCCUGUAUAUUGGGAUGUACUGAAAUUCUGGGGGUCUGGGCAGAGACUGCACCUCCCAGUGUGCUAAGUUAUUCCUCAAGAUAGUAAACAACAUACGUGGAGGCAUGUAUUUCAUAUUCAAACCAACCAUCAAAAGGCCAAAUUCUCAGCUACUUGCUUUGUCUAACUAAUAUAUAAAGUCAGUAUUUCCCCUUCCAAAAAUCAACACAGGGAAAGGCUCAAGACAAAUAGUAAUAUUUCCUAUGCCUUUACCCAUGAGAAUUAUUCAAACUUGAUCCUAAACUUUUUCAUGCCCUGCUUUGCCUUUGUGGUGGAAAUUCCAAUAAAUGCUGAGGCAGAUGCUUUCUUCUUGCUUAUCUGUCUCCUGACCAACUCUCUCUCUUCCCCUUGUAGGCCUGUGCGGCCUCUGCUGUGCCCUUUUUGUUAGUACUAGGAGUAAAAAACAUAGUCACUGGAGCCUCUUUCUGUACUCAGUCAUCUUUAUGAAUCCACAAACUUAAAUCAAUCAUUUCUUGGCCUUUCUUCAUAGAUUUUAAUACCUGUGUGCAUAUCUCACAGCAAGAUGUUACCUUUCUUAGGUAAAUUUUGCACUGCGUGAGAGCUAUAUAUACUAGGCUGGUAUUGUCUAUGUCACUAAACUAUAUCCUCAACCUUUGUAAUUUUUUUAUUACAACAUUGCAGGAGGGGAAAAAAAGAUUAUAGGAGUUUACAUCUUAUGUGUUUUCCCCUUUCUGAUGGUGUCUUAUAGAUUUCUUCAUUUUGUCCUACCCAAGUGUCUCCAUUCCUUUAUGUUUUUCAGAAAUUUAAGACCUUAAAUAUGUUCCAUUACCUUGUCUUCCACAUUUUGUAAUUCUGAUUUCAAAUUUAUAUACUAAAUGCAUACCAUUUUGGUCAUUUUUCUCCCUAUGGACAUGAGAUUAUCAUAGCUCCUCUAUUUCUGGCAAACAACAUACAUGGAGGCAAGUAUUUCAUAUUCAAACCAACCAUCAAAAGGCCAGUGAGGGAGGUGGAUUCACAGUGAGAGAAAAGAGCUAAAUGCCAUUUUCCCCCCUCCAUUUACAUGUCCCCAACAUCUGACAACUCUAUGGUGGCUAUGAGACAUAGCAUAGACCUUUACAAAAAAGACUGAGAUGAUCAUCCUCCACCCUCAAUGUAGGCCAGCUUGUAAUAGAGAGAAUAAAUAGCAUGGAAAAGGCCUUUGAAAUGAAAUUCAUAUUGAAACCACAACUAUAGAAUGCUUACUUAAAUUUGCAUUUUUUCCUUUUUUUUUUUUUUUGGUAGUGCUGAGAAUCUGUGUUGUUGAGAAUAAAAACAUGGGGAUUUCAAAUUAUAAACAAGACAUUUACAAAAGAAAGGUUUAAGGCUGAUGUGACUUCUGUGAUUGUUAGGUUCUACUUUCCAGUUCAAUGGUAAAAUAUUUCAUGAAGACUGAGAAGAGGGCUGGGGAUGUGGCUCAAGCGGUAGCAUGCUCGCCUGGCAUGCGUGCGGCCCGGGUUCCAUCCUCAGCACCACAUACAAACAAAGAUGUGUCUGCCAAAACUAAAAAAUAAAUAUUAAAAAAAUUCUCUCUCUCUCUCUCUCUCUCUCUCUCUCUCUCUCUCUAAAAAAAAGACUGAGAAGAUAAAUAUUUUACAUUUAUACAUAUAUUUUAUAUAUGUAUAUUUUAAUCACUGAGAAGGAUACAAUGAAAUUGGUUUUUUAAAAGGUAAAUGAAAACAGUACUUAAGAAAUAGUUAACCCAGAGCUGGGGUUGUAGGUCAGUGGUAGAGCACUUGCCUAGCAUGUGAGGCACUGGGUUUAAUCCUCAGCACCACAUAUAAAUAAAUAAAUAAAUAAAGUUUAAAAAAUUUUUCAAAAUCUCAUAAAAAAUAGUUAACCCAAAAGAACAGUAAAAAGAGGAAACUGGAUAAUGAGAAAGGAGACCAUAGAGAUAAUAAUAUAGUAGAACUGAAUCUCAACAUACUCAGACACAUUAAAUGUAAUUGAAAGGAUGCACCCCAUUUUGCCUGUGCUAUCCCAGAGCAGCAGAUCUCCACAUACCUGGCAUCUAGGGAGAAAAGCUGAGCACUGAAGGAGCAGAGCAAUGGUGGCCAUGCUGGGCUGAGGCUGCUGCAUCUGGCAUUGCUCCUACCCAUGCAGAUUUAUUCAAAUUAAAACAGCUGUUGUGACGAUUUCAAAUAACUCCUCUCAGUGUACCUUUGCUGCCCUAAUUUCACCACCAAGAGGUAUCAGUGCCGUGCUGUCUACCAUCAGUGUCUUCACAGUCCUCGCGCUCUGUUCUACCUCUUUACUGUUAAAGAGACUUAGGCCAAGAACCAUCUCUGCUUCCCCAUCCUUUAAUUCCAAUCCAGAUGGCAACUACAAGUCCAGUCUGACAAGGACAUCAAAUACAGUAACUCCAAAUCUUAUUUUAUUGACAUAGAAAAAUGUUGAGAAUUAUAAAAUUUGAUUGGUUUGAAGAAUGUAAAGAAUUUUUUUAUUUAAUUAUUUAUUUAUUUGGCGGACACAAUAUCUUUGUUUGUAUGUGGUGCUGAGAUUCGAACCCAGGCCACACGCAUGCCAGGCGAGCGCGCUACCGCUUGAGCCACAUCCCCAGCCCGAAUGUAAAGAAUUUGACAGAUGAUGGAUGCCAAUAUUAAAUCUGUUGAAGUUUUAUGUAUAAGAUGAGGAGAAACAACAUCCAAACCUAAGAUAUGGCUUCCUCAAAUGUGGCUUAAGAAAUAUGGACACUUAGGGACUGGAUGUGCCUCAGUGGUAGAGCAUUUGCCUAGCACAUGUGAGGUGCUGGGUUCAAUCCUCAGCACCACAUAAAACAUAAAUGAAUAAAAUAAAGGUAUUGGGCUGGGGCUGGGGCUGGGGCAGUGGCAGAGCACUUGCCUAGUAUGUGUGAGACACUGGGGUUGAUCUUUAAUACCACAUAAAAAUAAAUAAAGGCAUUCUGUCCAUCUGUAACUAUAAAAAAUAAAAAUAAAUAAAAUAAAGGUAUUGUGUCCAUCUAUAACUAAAAAAUUAAUAAAAGAGAAAUAUGGACACUUAAAAUUCUACCUUGAAAAUAAGAAUAGAUUUUAUUAUUAGCGAUAAAAGAUGGGGUGUGGAAUAGAGAUUCAGUUUUCAUUCAGUUAAUUAAAUCUGUAAGGUCAUAAACCAGGUAAUAUAAAGAGCUUUCAUGACUCCACUUAUAUGUACAUUAGAAGGAACUUUCAGAUUUUACUAUAAAUCCUCAAUGUAAUUUGAGCAGUACUAAUUUAAUGCCAAUAUAUAAAUAAAGUUUCACAUAGUUAUGGUUUCACUAUUCUCUUGGGAACUGAACUCAUUUUCCUCUGUGGGUUUGGAUUUGACAUACAUUUUUGGUUUUUUAAAAUUUUAUUUAUUUAUUUUUUUAUCCUGGGCAUUGAAGCCAAGGUGUUCUAUCACCAAGCUACAUCCCUAUCCCUUUUUAAAAUUUUGAGACAAUGUUUCACUAAGUUGCUGAGGCUAGCCUUGAACUUGCAAUCCUCCUGCCUCAGCCUCUCAAGUAGCUAGAAUUACAGGCAUACAUCAUCAAGUCUUAGAGAGUCUACAUUUAAUAUCAUACAAAAUACACUUCAGAGCAAAGAAAAUCACCAGGUAAUAUAAAGAGCUUUCAUGACCAAAGGAAAAGAAGAGCCUAACAGAAUGUUGAUACUGUAAUAAUAUAUCAAUUCACUGAAAAGUAUCUUAAAUGUACGGACAUCUAACAAUAGAGCUUCAUAAUACAUGAAGGAAAAAGAGAUACAUUGGUGGGGGGGAAGCAGACAUCCAUAUAAAAUCUCUUCCAUCAAUAAUAAACAGAAUAGUAGGGGCUGAGGAUAUAACUCAAUUUGUAGGGUGCUUGCCUCACAUGCGCAAGGCCCUGGGAUCAAUCCCCAGCAACACCCCAAAAUAAAUUAAACAAUAGUAGAGAGCAUGAGCAGGGUUUUUUAAAAAAUGUGAAUAAAUAUUUAUCAAAAGGAUCACAUUGACAUCUGUAAAAUGUGAUAUAGCAACAGUUAAAUAUAAUUACUUUCACAUGUACAUGGAACAUUCUCCAACAAUGUACAUAUCCUGGGGCAUUAAAGAAACUGUAAAACAAAGUGUAUUAUUUGACCAUGAUGAAGUUAGACUAGAAAUUAAGAACAGAACAGAAAAGGGCUGAGAUGUAGCUCAGUGGUACAGCACUUGUCUAGAAUGUGCAAGGCCCUGGAUUCAAUCCUCAGUACUUGAAAAGAAAUUAAUAAAUUUGCCAGGCACAGUGUCAUACACCCAGAAUCUCAGUGGCUCAGGAGUCUGAGGCAGGAGGAUCACAAGUUCAAAGCCAGCCUCAGCAACUUAGUGAGGCCCUAAGCAAAAAAAAAAAAAAAAAAAAAAAAAAAUAGGGCUGGGGAUAUGGCUCUGUGGUCAAGUGCCCCUGACUUCAAUCCCCUGUACCCCCACCCCCACCCCCCCCAAAAAAAAAUCACAUCACUUCACUAGGAUGACUAAAACGAAAUGUAAAUGUUAGAAAGGCUGUGGAGACACUGGAAAUUUCAUACACUUCCUGCAGUAAUGGAAAAUGCUUCAGCCAUUUUGGAAAAUAGCCUGGGAGUUCUGCACAUUUAAAAACAUACAGUUUCUAAUUGACCCAGCAAUUCCACUCCUUGGAAUAUCCCUAAAAGCUCAAGUAUAUAUAAAAAGAUAUUGGUAAAUUUUUAUAGCCGCAUUAUGUAUGAGGUCCCAAAAGUCCAAACAAAUGUCUAUGAACUGAUGAAUGGAUAAAUUAUAUCCACACAACAGAAUAUCAUCCAGCAAUAAAAGGGAAAGAAAUACACUAUAUCCCAGAUGAACCCUGAAAGAAAUGCUGUGUAAAAGAAACUAUUGGUCAAAGAUUGUAUGAUUUUGUUACAUGAAAUUUCUACAAAAGGCAGAUCUAUAAUUAGUAGCUUUGUGGUUGUUCAGAGAUUAAGGGAGUAAGAAAAUGGCUGUAAGAGAAAGGGUUCUAAAAUUGUGCUGACUGCAAAUCUCUGUGAAUAUACUAAAAAAUAAAUUUUACAGUUUCAAAUGCAUUGUUUAUGGUAAGCAAUAGUUUAAGCUAUUCUGUAAAUUGAGUAAAAGGGAAAAUCAUGAUAGUACCAACCUAAUUGUGACCAUGAAGAAUUCAAUGUCUGUGAAGCAUAUAGACUAGUAGUAGGCAACAAACGUUAGCUACCAUUAUAUUUUUAGCACUAUUGAUAUAAAACUUUUGGGAACAAAGGGGUGGCUUGGUGGUAAAGUAUAUGCUUAGCAUUCAGGAGGCCAUGUAUCCAGCACCAAAAGAAAAGAAAACGACUCAAUUUAAAAAAAAAAGGAGUAAAAAUAAUAUAAUAUUGGGCUGGGGUUGUAGCUCAGUGGUUGAGCACUUGCCUCGCAUGUGUGAGGCACUGGGUUUGAUCCUCAGCACCACAUUAAAAAAUAAAUGAAACAAAGAUAUUGUGUCCACCUACAACUAAAAUAAUAAUAAUAAUAAUAAUAAUAAUAAUAAUAUGAUAUUGAUAUUAGUGUGAGUAAAUACAUUACUAGCAUAGAAUGUCUAGAAACUGACAAAAGUAUGUAUAGGAAUUAUUGUUUAUUCAAGGUGGGAUUUCAUCAAUAGGUCAGGGACAGUUUCUUAAUAAGUGGUACUCCAAUAACUGGCCAUCCUUCUAGAGGAAGAUAUAUUGGAUCCACUAUCCCACAAUGCAUGCCAAAAUAUAUUAAUUCUUUUUUGCAGUGUUGGAAAUCAAAGCCACAGACUCUUGAAUACUAGGCACUCUACCACUGAGCUACAGCCCCAAUCCCAAGAUACAAAUCUUUCAUAAAGAAGUAUCUUUCAAAAGAAAAUUUGAGUUGUGUGUAGUGGUGCAUGCCUGCAAUUCCAGCUACUUAGGAGGCUGAUGCAGGAAAAUCACAAGUUUGAGGUCAGCCUGGGCAACUUAGCAAGACCUUGACUCAAAAUAAAAAGGAUGGGGGAUUAGAGCUUAGUGGUAGAGUCCCCCUAGGUUUAAUCUCCAGUACUUAAAAAAAAAAUCAAAGGAAACUUUGAUAAUCUAUAUAUAAUCAAUUUGAUUAGACUUUUUCUUUUCUUUUUCUUUUUGUUGUGCUGGGGAUCAAUCCCCGACAAGCACUCAACCACUGAGUUAUGUCCCCAAUAACAAGAUUUAAGGAUGACAAGACUUAAGGCAAGUUAUUACAUUCAAAUUAUAGAAAAACAAUCUCUUGGACUGUGUAAAACAUAAAUAUUUUAUACAUCAAUAGUUGCACAUUAAAGAAGAAUUUAAAAUAUCACUCUUUGCUGAUGACAUGACUCUAUUUCUAGAGGAUCCAAAAAAUUCCACCACAAAACUUCUAGAACUAAUAAAUGAAUUCAGCAAAGUAGCAGGAUAUAAAAUCAACACCCAUAAAUCAAACGCAUUCCUAUACAUCAGCAAAGAAUCCACUGAAAGAGAAGUUAGGAAAACCACUCCAUUCACAAUAGCCUCAAAAAAACAAAACAACAAAACUACAACAAAAACAACAACAACAACAAAAAAAAACCUGAGAAUCAAUCUAACAAAAGUGGUAAAGACCUCUACAAAGAAAACUACAAAAUCCUAAAGAAAGAAAUUGAAGAAGACGUCAGAAGAUGGAAAGAUCUCCCAUGCUCCUGGAUAGGCAGAAUUAAUAUUGUCAAAAUUGCCAUACUACCAAAAGCAUUAUAUAGAUUUAAUGCAACUCCAAUUAAAAUCCCAAUGACAUUCUUCAUAGAAUUAGAAAAAGCAAUCAUGAAAUUUUUUGGAAAAAUAAGAGACCCAGAAUAACUAAAGCAAUCCUUAGCAAGAAAAGUGAAGCAGGAGGCAUCACAAUACCAGACUUUAAACUAUACUACAAAGCUAUAGUAAUAAAAAUGGCAAGGUACUGGCACCAAAAUAGACUUGUAGACCAAUGGUACAGAAUAGAGACCACAGAGACAAACCCGCAUAAAUAUGGUUAUGUCAUACUAGACAAAGAUGCCAAAAACAUUCACUGGAGAAAAGAUGGUUUAUUCAAUAAAUGGUGCUGGCAUGAAAUUAAACCUCUAUCUCUCACCCUGCAAAAAAAAAUCAACUCAAAGUGGAUCAACAAAUAGGCACCAGAACAGAGACCCUGUGCCUAAUAGAAGAAAAUAUAGGUCUAAAUCUUCACCACAUUGGCCUAGGAUCUGACUUCCUUAACAAGACUCCUAAAGCACAAGAAGUAAAAUCGAGAAUCAGUUAAUAAGAUGGAUUCAAAUUUCAAAAAACUUAACCAAAAAACCAAAUAGCCCAAUCAAUAAAUGGGCUAAGGAACUGAACAGACAUUUCACAGAAGAAGAAAUACAAUUGAUCAACAAAUAUAUGAAAAAGUGUUCAACACCUCUAGCAAUUAGAGAAAUGCAAAUCAAAACUAAGAUUUCAUCUCACUCCUGUCAGAAUGGCAAUCAUCAAGAAUACAGGCAACAGUAAAUGUUGGUGAGGAUGUGGGGGAAAAUGUACACUCAUACAUUACUGGUGGCACUGCAAAUCGGGUACAACCACUACAGAAAACAGUAUGGAGAUUCCUUAGAAAAUUGGGAAUGGAACCACCAUUUGACCCAGCUAUCCCACUCCUUGUUUUAUACCCAAAGGACUUAAAGUCAGCAUACUAUAUUGACACAGCCACCUCAAUGUUUAUAGCAGCUCAAUUCACAAUAGCUAGACUAUGGAACCAACCUAGGUGUCCCUCAAUAGAUGAAUGAAUAAAGAAAAUGUGGUAUAUAUACUCAAUGGAAUAUGACUCAGCUUUAAAGAAGAGUAAGGUUAUGGCAUUUGCCAGUAAAUGGUUGGAGUUGGAGAAUAUCAUACUAAGUGAAAUAAGCCAAUCUCACAAAACCAAAGGACAAGUGUUUUCUCUAAUAUGCAGAUGCUAAUUCACAAUAUGGUGGCAGGGGGCACUAGGGAAGUGUGGUGAGCCGUGUCUGUAGACCGUUGCCACCAUUAGAAGAUGGCGCCGGUCUCCGUUGUGGAUCUUGGUAAACAACUCCUUAUUAGGGAGAAUUGGCGCGCUGUCCCUCAAUACCCUAUGAGAAAACCCCGCGUGGAAGCUUUGGAUUGGUCUUGAGUAAGCUUUAUUAGGCUGUGUGUGGGUGCGCGGGAGAGAGCGCGCUUGAGAGAAGACUAAGAAUUAAGGCCUGAAUAAACCGCUGAAAGAAGAAUCCUGUGUCGUGUCUUCCUUGCUGGCGAGGGGGUCGCGACAGUUGGUGGCCCGCACGGGGAACCGAAUACCUCUCAAUCCCAGGAUCCAGAACUUUCAGCGGUCAGGGUGGUGCACCGGUAAGUUCCCAGGUAAGUGGGAAUCCGCGGAAAAAUUAGCGGGUCGCUCCUCUGUAAGAAGAGAGAGCGGGGACUUUUUGGACUUUCGCUUUAUUUCUUUGCUUUCGCUUUCUGCAUUAACGCCAUGGGCGCCUCUGCUUCUAGCCCUAUUCUGUUAGCCCUGGAUGGACUGCUACGAUCUAAAGGUUUAAAAGUUAAACAGAGUACUUUGCAGAUGUUCUUAAAACAAAUAGAUCUAGAGGCCCCGUGGUUUGCUUACUCGGGCAGUCUCACGACCCCCAGCUGGGAAAAACUAGGCAGGGAUUUAGAUUUUGCACACGAACAAGGGACCCUCGAAGGUGGGGUGAUUCCCUUAUGGAAGUUAGUAAGGGGUUGUUUAUCUGACAGUAGAUGUCAGGAUGCCCUAACCAAAGGACAGGAGGUUCUUGAACAAUUGCAUGAGGAGAGGUCCGAGGGAGCUGAGAGUAUUAAGAGUGGGGGGAGUGAUAGAGAUGAUAAACGUUCAAGCCAGCCAAAGACUAGACUUUAUCCAGAUUUGACUGAAUUGAAAGCCUUUGAGGAAGACAGUAGCUCAGACAAUGAGGAAGUAUUGGAAUUGCUAUCACGGAAAGCUAGAGAGAAAAAAGGAAAAGGUGUGACUAAAGGGCGAGGUGAUCCCCGUAAGGCUGUCUACACAGAACAUAAGUACCAAAAGACAGAUGUGGGACAUGAGGAAGAGGGGGAGGAAAUUUUGGAGAUUCCUCCUGAUCCUCCACCCUAUCCUAACCCAGGACUCAAUAGGACGUUUCAUGCACAAACAUGGAGAAAGGUUCAUUCGGACAUGGGUCUAGCAUUCCCUGUGUUUCAAGAUGCCAAUCGGGGGCGAUAUCAUGAACCCCUUGACUUUAAUAUUGUCAAGACAUUGGCUGAAUCAGUCCGAACCUAUGGUGUGGAUGCUGCAUUUACACUUACCCAGGUGGAGGGCCUUUCUCGUUUUUGCAUGACUCCGUCUGAUUGGGCGAGCCUGGUGCGCGCCUGUGUUUCUCCAGGAAAGUAUCUGGAUUGGAGAGCAUUUAUGUUAGAGGGGGCAGUAGAGCAGGCGGCCCAAAACCAUGCGGCGGGACGCCCUGCCUGGGAUAAGGACAUGCUUUUGGGACAGGGCAGAUUUGCCAAUCAACAAACAGGGUACCCACCGGAAGUAUAUGAGCAAAUCAACAACAUCUGCAUCCGAGCCUGGAAGUCCUUGCCUAACAGAGGGGAAGUAUCUGGUAAUCUAACUAAGAUCAUCCAAGGUCCCAUAGAGCCUUUUUCUGACUUUGUGGCUCGGAUGGUAGAUGCAGCGGGGAAAAUAUUCGGGGACCCUGAUAGAGCUAUGCCUUUGAUCAAACAACUUGUUUUUGAACAAUGUACUAAGGAAUGAAAAGCAGCUAUAACCCCAUAUAAAAACAAAGGAAUAGAGGCAUGGAUGAAAGUCUGUAGGGAAAUAGGUGGGCCCCUUACUAAUGCAGGGUUGGCUGCUGCCGUUCUCCAGCUAACCCGAAAACCACCCCCUCAUACAGGAAAGUGCUUUAGAUGUGGCCAGGAGGGACAUUUUAAGCGUGAUUGUCCCCGAACAUGUCAGUUACAGGACAAAAAAGGGUCAUCCUCAAUUGUUCGACAGCCGGGACUAUGUCCUCGUUGCAAGAAGGGUAAACAUUGGGCUAAUGAAUGCAGGUCAGUCAAGGACAUUCAUGGACAGCCAAUAUCAGAUAGACAGGUGCCAAAAAACGGCCGGAGGGGCCCUCGACCUCAGGGCCCGCAAAUAUAUGGGGCAAUGGAGAAUGGGAUCAUGGAGAGCGAAACAUGGCCAUCUCUACGACAUCCCAAAGAUCGCGGAGAACCACUACAGGUGCCGCGGGACUGGACCUCUGUUCCGCCUCCAGACUCGUAUUAACACCUAAAAUGGGAGUCCAAUUGGUGGAAACUGACUUUAAAGGGCCUUUGCCACCUGGUACUGUAGGGUUGUUAAUUGGGCGUGCUUCUUCCGCUUUACAAGGUCUUUACAUUUUCCCUGGAAUUAUUAAUCCGGAUACAAUAGGAACAGUAAAGGUUAUGGUAGAAGUUCCAAAAGGUAUUGUGUCCAUCUCCCCAGGAGACCGGAUUGCUCAAUUGUUAAUUCUACCCAGUCUACAUACCCGUUUUCCUGCUGGCUCCCAUUUGAGAUUAAAUGAUAAGAUUGGGACAAUGGUGGGGGGGGGAUUGUGCAUUUUUGUCCUUAGAAAUGGAUGACCGUCCCACAUUAAAAUUAACUAUAGAAGGCAAAUCAAUUUUAGGAUUACUGGAUACUGGAGCAGAUCGUAGCAUAAUAGCAAUGAAGGACUGGUCAAAGGGGUGGCCGGUGCAACUCUCGGAUCAAUCGCUGAGGGGUUUAGGAUAUGCUCAAGCUCCACAAGUCAGCUGUAGACAUCUAUCAUGGAAAGAUUCUGAAGGACAUUCUGGCAUUUUUCAACCAUGUGUACUUGAUCUCCCAAUCUCCCUAUGGGGACGUGAUCUUAUGAAGGACAUGGGGUUUCAACUUAGUAAUGAAUACUCAGCAGUUGCCCAAAAGAUAAUGCAAGACAUGGGAUAUAGACCAGGUCUUGGACUAGGUAAAAAUUUACAGGGACGUAGACAUCCCGUACAAUCAAUACCAAAACUUAACAGACAUGGGUUGGGUUUUUCUUAGGGGCCACUGAGGAUCAAGUGCCCAUUACCUGGAAGUCAGGGGAGCCAGUAUGGGUGCCUCAGUGGCCACUCUCCUCUGAGAAACUGACUGCAGCACAUGUUUUAAUUCAAGAACAGUUAAAGUUAGGACAUAUAAGGCCAUCCACUUCUCCUUGGAAUACACCCAUCUUUGUUAUUAAAAAAAAGACUGGAAAAUGGCGGUUGCUGCACAAUCUAUGGGCUAUUAAUGCUCAAAUGCAACUCAUGGGAUCUAUUCAGAGAGGGUUGCCUUUGCUUUCUACUAUCCCUAAAAAUUGGCCAGUGAUAUGUAUAGACAUUAAAGAUUGUUUCUUUUCCAUCCCAUUGCAUCCUCUAGAUUCAGAACGUUUUGCUUUCACUUUGCCUUCGUGUAAUCACGAGGAGCCUGAUCAGAGGUUUGAAUGGGUGGUUCUGCCGCAGGGCAUGGCAAAUAGUCCUACCAUGUGUCAAAUGUUUGUCGGUGCGACUAUUGCUCCACUCAGACAAAAAUAUCCAUCAUUAAGGUGUGUACAUUAUAUGGAUGAUAUUUUGUUAGCAGCAAAGACCCAAUGUAUGUUGGAGGCCGCUUAUACUGACUUAGUACAUUUGCUACAGCUAAAAAACUUGUUUAUUUCACCUGAUAAGGUACAGAUAGGGGACUCCAUUAAUUAUCUUGGUGCUACUAUCUCUUGUAAAGUUAUCACACCCCAAAAGAUAACUCUGAGGACUGAUAAACUACAGACACUAAAUGAUUUCCAAAAAUUAUUGGGUGAUAUAAAUUGGAUUAGAAGUUACCUACAUAUUCCCAAUGUUGAAUUAAAACCUUUGUAUGAAAUUCUUAAAGGUGAUUCAGAUCUUACUUCCCCUCUACAUUUUACUGAGGAAGCCAGGUCAGUGUUGCUUAAAGUGGAAAAGGCUAUACAACAUGCUAGCCUUUGUAGGUUUCAAGAGGAUAAACCUCUCCAACUAUGUGUGCUCGCCACUGUGCGACAACCUACUGGAGUUUUAUGGCAAGAUGGUCCUUUACUGUGGAUACAUCCACGUAUGUCCCCUGGAAAAUCCCUUGAGUAUUAUCCUGAUGCAGUUGCUUCCUUAGCUAUGUUAGGGAUACAACAAAGUGUACAAUUUUUUGGUUUCCCUCCAACGUCUGUGAUUGUUCCUUAUACAUGUCAACAAAUUCUGGUCUUAUGUGCUAACUUGGAUAAUUGGGCUAUAUUACGAUGCUCCUUUCCAGGAGAGAGAGAUAAUCACUAUCCAUCACAUCCUCUUAUUACAUUUGUUAAGGAACAUCCUAUCAUUUUCCCUAAAAUCACUUCUUCUACGCCUAUUCCAGGAGCUGCAAAUAUCUUUACAGAUGGAUCUAAGACUGGUAUUGGAGCUUAUGUGAUAAAUGAUCAACCUCCUAUCCAACAUCAGUUUGCUCCUGGUAACCCACAAUGGGUGGAGCUGCAAAUUGUCAUAAAAGUUUUUGAACAAUGUCCAUUUCCUUUUAAUUUAAUCUCAGAUUCUGUCUAUGUAGUUCAAGCUUUAAAGGUGUUGGAAGCAGUGGGUCCCAUACACACAUCAGGAGUAAUGUCUUCUCUUUUUCUCCAUCUUCAAACAUUGAUUUGGAAUCGUUCCGCCUGUUUUUACCCCUUGCAUAUUCGAGCCCACACAGGUUUACCGGGUGCUCUUUCUGCGGGCAAUGCCCAGGCAGAUCUUACUACUCGUCCUUCUUGGGUGUUCCCUAUUUCCUCCUUAGAUCAAGCUAGAAACUUUCAUAGUAAGUUUCAUAUUAAUGCACGAGCACUUCAGAAACGCUUUACCAUCUCCCGUGCUGAUGUGUGAUUUUACAUCAUCCUCCUUCUAUAGGUGUAAAUCCUCAUGGUUUACGGCCUUUAACUAUAUGGCAAAUGGAUGUUACUCAUGUUCCUGACUUUGGUAAACUUAAAUAUGUCCAUGUAUCUGUAGAUACUUGUUCUGGCAUUAUCUAUGCUUCCGCUUUGUCUGGGGAAAAAGCUGGAAAUGUUAUCACACACUGCUUGGAAGCUUGGGCAGCCUGGGGAUUACCACAGUCCAUUAAGACGGACAAUGGUCCAGCAUAUACUCGGCGACAAUUUUCUUCCUUUUGCAGCCAGAUGGGGAUCCAACUUAUCCAUGGUUUACCUUACAAUCCACAAGGCCAGGGUAUUGUAGAGCGCGCUCAUAAGACUCUAAAAGAAAUGUUACUAAAACAAAAAGGGGGAAUUGGCUUAGGCCACUCCCCGAAAGAGCGCCUCUCCCUGGCUCUAUUUACUAUCAAUUUUUUAAAUUUGGACAUUCAAGGGCGCUCUGCUGCAGAUAGGCAUUGUUCGCCCUCUGCCCCGAAUUUUGGGUAUGUUAAGUGGAAAGAUGUCCUUUCCUGACAAUGGUAUGGGCCUGAUCCCGUGCUGGCAUGGGCACGAGGUUCUGUCUGUGUUUUCCCACAGGACCGAGCGGAGCCGGUGUGGAUCCCUGAACGACUAAGGAGAAAAGUCUCGAAGACAACUGACCAACAACGGGGGACCCUACAAGAGUCCAACGAUGAGACCCUUCAUUCUGCUGAGUAUCCUGGCCCUAUCACAGACGAUGAUGGUCCAGAUGUUACCGAUGCAGUGGUGGGCGGUAGCUCGGACAUGGCCGAUGCCGAUGCCGGUCCAUAAAAAUUCUAGUGUCCUCCCCACUCUUUUUUCUACUUCAUGUGAGAUGUCUGCCCCUUGUGUCUCCCCUAGAGGAGACGGACAACAGGUUUUCAACCUUUCUCGUGUUAAUCUCACGGGAGUUUUCUGCUUCAGUUUCUUGAGAACCCGUUGUAUUCGCUUACAGCGCAACAAUUUGACCAAUUGGGAGGACCCCUUACAGAACAGUAGGGUCUCACUGGGAACCUUGUUUGCGGCGCUUAGCCAAGUGAGUAGUGGGACAACGGAGGGCUCAGGAGAGACUACAAAUUCGACCGAAAUGAAUAUCACCACUUUGGCUAUAACUUCCCAGGUGUCACUCCCGGUGGCUUUUCCUAACGCUAGUAAUGCCACUUAUUUUAAGGCCUCUCCUUAUUGUACCCCGUACUAUUCUUUCCCCCCGACAUUCACGCCUUGUCAAGAUCAUUCUUGGGAGAAGCGCAAAGUUGCUGUGGGUUUCUCUCUUUCCCCUUCUCUUAAAAGGUAUUUGUAUAAUUCUUCCAAGGAUAAUUCCACUACAGGAACAGGCUGGUCUUGGUUUCAAUGGUUGAUUUCCAAUGAAAAGGGGGCCACAGCCGAUGUCUCUGCUCUGGCUCAAUUGAGAGGAGUCCAGAGCUGGCUGUUUAAUGUGUCUGGCUCUGUACAGGACACUGCUAAUGGUAGGAGGUUUAAAAACAUUUCAUACAAUUCUCAGGUGUCCAAUGCUACACUGCCCUCUGCAGCAGUCUGCCUUCAUUCUCCGUUUCUGUUCCUUUUGACCAAUGAUACCAAUACUACAGGAUCGGAAAUGAUUGACUGUUCUAAUUGUACAUGUGUCUUGUCUGAGUGUUGGAAUGGAUCCUGGAGCACGGCAGUUGUUAUGAAGGUCCCGACUUUCGUCCCGAUUCCGGUUACUGCAGAUCCGGACUCCUUCCGUAUUAUUGAGGUGCUCAGGAGCCGUAGGGACUUUGGAAUUACGGCAGCUAUUGUAACAGCGGUUGCAGUGUCUGCUGCUGCAGCAGUCACUGCUGGAGUGGCCAUGGCUAGUCAAGUGCAGACUGCGGCCACGGUUAAUCAGGUCAUCCAACAAACUUCCAACAUUUUAGAGUCUCAAAGUAAAAUCAAUCAACAUAUUUUAUCAGGAAUUUUGGCCGUUAAUCAAAGGGUGGAUCUCCUCCAAGCUCAGAUUGAGGAACUGUCAGACCUAGUACAUUUGGGUUGUGUUGAUCAUCGUGCACAUCUAUGUAUAACAUCUCUCAGAUUUAAUGAUUCCAGAAAUACCUCUCAAAUCAUUGGACAGUACCUGGCCGGAAACUGGUCCAUGGAAGCAGAGAAGUUGAUCCAGACCCAACUGACACAAAUUGCCAUGUUGAACAACACUCGUGUNCCAAGUUAUCUUUGACAUUGCACUGGGAUUGGCAUGCCCUCCUCUUCCUGCCUUCCCAGUUAUGGAAGGCCCAUGCACUCUGCAGGCCUUGUUGCCAUUGCACGCAGGUGGGCUUCCAUGCUGGUGCUGCACUUUAUGCUUUGGACCCUUCGUUUUCUCAGGGGCUGAGAGAUAGUGUUGCCACUUCCAACCUCAUAGUCACUGACCGGCUACUUGUAAAAUCCCCUUCCUUUUUGCUGUCAUCACGAUGCAGGAUGCGAGGCAAGGCACUGCACUUGAGUGAUCCGGUCUCCGGACCUCAAGGGAAGCAUGUCCUAUUGCAUACGGGUUUGGCGUCCACGCCCCGUCCCACGAAAAAAGGCGUCAGCUGAUAUGGUGUCAGAUCUAAGGAAGGCGCCUCCUUGGGACUGAGCCAUACAUUGCAGCCAUGUUUGCACAGUGGGAUAGGACCUCUACUUUUGCCUGCAUCGUUUUUUAAGAAAUAAGGGGGAACUGUGGUGAGCCGUGUCUGUAGACCGUUGCCGCCAUUAGAAGAUGGCGCCGGUCUCCGUUGUGGAUCUUGGUAAACAACUCCUUAUUAGGGAGAAUUGGCGCGCUAUCCCUCAAUACCCUAUGAGAAAACCCCGCGUGGCAGCUUUGGAUUGGACUUGAGUAAGCUUUAUUAGGCUGUGUGU